RNAcentral lists this long non-coding RNA (4217 nucleotides) under Theobroma cacao (cacao). Its description in RNAcentral is "long non-coding RNA (TCAC_LNC001457)". Lineage: Eukaryota; Viridiplantae; Streptophyta; Magnoliopsida; Malvales; Malvaceae. The record is from RNAcentral.
UUUUUUUUUUUCUUUCUUUCUCUCCCUUAUUUCCUUCUUCCUUUCCUUUCUCUCUCCCCGUCGACUUCUUCUUUCUUUUUCUUUUUUUUUCUUUUUUUUUUCUUCUCUUCCUCUCCUUUCCUUUCUCUCUCCCCGCUGGCUUCUUCUUUCUUUUUCCUCUUUCUUUCUCCUUCUCUUUCUCUCUUUUCUCCCUGCCGGCGUCACACCCUUCUCCUCUUCUCUCUUCCUCUUCUCUCUAUCGUCUUCUUCCUUUUUUUUUUUGCUCUAUUUUUUGUGUUUGAUUGUGGUUCUUCGGCUGCUAGAGACUUUUUGGUUUUUUGAAAACGUUUUUUUAUAUUGUUUUUUGGCUUUUUUUGGUUCUUCCUCUCUGAUUUUUUUUUAUUUUCCCACUUCCCCCGUUUUGCAGGUUGUCCAUCUUUUGAGGUCAGGUUGUCCAAAAAUUUGGACAACUCGGUAAUGGGGUUCUACACCAAAAAGUUGAUAGUCAAAACCCCCAUCAUUUAAGGUGGUUCCUUCUCUUUUUCUUUUUUAAUUAUUUUAUUUUAUACUUUAUUUUAUUAUAAUUUUUUAUUUUUUUGAGGUAUCUACUUAUGAUAGAUUAUUAGAUUGGACGGUUAAGAUAUAAUAUGUUAUGAGAAGCUUAGAUUUAUAUUAAAAUUUAAUAGAUUUGAAUUAGUAGAUUCACUUUUAUUUUUUUGUAAAUUUGAUAGGCUUAACAUAUUAGUUUAAAAUUUAUUUAUUGGGUUUAACUAGCAAUAUGGUAACCAUAAUAACUCUAAUUUUGCCAAACAGUAUGAAAAAUAAAACUAAUUAUUAAAUUAAAAAUUAUUUUGAGAGCUAUUAAAAAUAAAUAUAAUAAAUAAAUAUGUAUUGAAAAAAUAUAAUUAUUUCAUUCUAUCAAUUUGUAUGUAUAAUCUUAUUACUUAAAAUUUGUAACAUACGUACUAAAAUGUAUUGGUUAUUUUGAAUAAAAAAUAAUAUAUUGAUGAAAUUUUAAGUCACAAUACAAUACUGCAACGUAUAUUUAAAAAUUAUAUAAUAAUUUAUUUAUUUUUAAAAAUUAAAAUCAUAAAAAAUAAUAUCUAGAUAAUAGAAAAAAAAACAUGAAAAGUAGAAAAUAAAAUCCAUAUAUAAUAUAAUAAAAGAAAAAAAAUAUGAUUGUUGGUACGUUAAAAUUUGUGAAAGAAAAUUUAUAAAGAUUUAAAAUAUAUGAGAAGAACUAGGUUUCCCAGGUGAACGCUGCAUCAGGAGCAGGGAUAUCAUUCCGCAGUAGGGCAGUACCAGUAUACGUUUGUGAUUUAAGCUUUGAACCACUUUAAACUGAAAGGCUCUGACAGCAUAUCAAGAACCACCCGUUUUGGAUUGAGAAAUAAGGAUCCAAAAAUAGUUACCAUACAUUUAACAACUAUUAUCACAUCGCUGAUAAUUAAAUGCUAUAGUACAUUGAAUACCGUUACUGAAGACUAUUUAACAUUUUACCAUCUUGGACACUAAUAGCUGCACACUCCAGAAUAAGCUAUACUAACCUAGAAGCAGCUAGUCUUAUUAAGAACUUUAGGCACCACUCUGUAGUGAAUGAAGCAUUACUUGAAUUCCAUGUUGUGGCUGAAGCUUAAGUAUAGUAAAUGGAGAGUGAACAUAGGCUGGGGAGAGAGUAAAGGUGUAACGUUGUAGAAUCAUUGAGAGAGCAGUCUUUGUUUCGGUGGUUGCAAAGCUCAUACCCACGCAAGAUCGAGGUCCCAAUGAAAAAGGAAUGAAUGCAGCCGCAUUGUAUUUGGUAGCUUUGGCAGUCCCUUCUGCGAGCUUAUCUGGUUUGAAAAGAUUAAAUAGAUUGAUUAUAUUAUCAAUUGAAAAAAAAAUAUUAGAAAAAUUUGAUUAUAAAAAUUUAAUUAAAAAUUUUGCAUAUCAAAAAGUUAGAAGAAUAAAAUUUUAAUAAUUUUUUUUAAUUUCAAUAAAAAAACCUCAUUUGAUUAUUUUGCUUUAAAUUUUUGAACUUAUUGAGCCGCCUUUGGCCAUAUCAUUUUCAUAAUUCGUCAAGUUACUCUAUCAAGAUACAUUCCCAAUCCCCUAUGCUUUACAUCAUUUCUUUCAACCCAAAGAAACUAAGAAAUUACAUAUUAAAUGUAGCUGGUUUUGUCCAUACUGGUUAUCAGCGGAGUAAAGGGUUUUAAGGAAAAAUACCAAUUUAUCAUUAUAAGGUGAUUCAAUACUGAAUUGUGUCAGCUCAUGGAAUAUGACGGAAAAUAAGGCUAUGGCUUUUGUCAGCUCAUGAAGGAGUAAUAGCUACAUUGGCUGUAUCACCUGUGAAAAGGGCUGGUUUCUUCUGCCAGGCAUGAUCACAAGUUUGUCAAAUUGUGGAAGUGAUACGAUUGCUAGCAGAAUUCCCAAGUUUUAAUCCACAACAAUUGUUGGUUUGUAGCUGUUCAGCUUGCUUAAAGGUGUCCAUUUUGUGGUUUGUCCCAAUGCUCAAAGAUUUUUAUUCACCAUGCCAUGAGGUUAUUUGGUUCAUGAUCUUCACAAAAUGACUACAGGAAUUUAGAAGCUGAGAAGCCUUAGAUUGUUUACUAGGAGCGGAGCUGGGAUAUACCAGGGUUUAGUACUCAAAAGAAGAUAAUCUUGUUUCUUUGUUGCCAAUACAUGAAACCCCUAAUACUUGUAUCAUCAGAAAUGGCCGGUAAAUACAGUUAAAUGGAAGAAAAUAAUCAGAAACUGGUUAUCAUUAGUUUGUAAGAUUUCUUAAAAAAAACUGUACAAAUUUCCAGAAAUCAAAAGAGCAAAAUGAUGAACAAAAACAGAGUUGAGAGAAGAAACAAGUCUGUAUAUGGAUCAAAAUUGAUGAAAUAACGGCUGCUCAGAUGAAAGAGAAAGAAGGCCGUUGGACUACACAAACAAAGAGAGAACGAAAACGACGCGAUUGAAGGAAAGAAACAAACAUUGAACAAACGACACAACAAGUCGUCGUAUGCUCCUGUAAACAGAACAGACAAGAAACGACAGCCAAGGACACCGUUUAAGCACCCCCAACAAGCAAAUCAUAAAACGACACAGGUGACCCCCGUUUCACAAACUCAAAUCGAUGAAGGCAUAUGCGGCACCACUUUGCACAGCCCUGAACCCUUCUUCAACUUAUUUAAAUUCCAACUGCUUCCCGCCAUUAGUUAUUUAUAAUUAGUUAUUAUUUAUAAGUUUUUGCCAGUUCUGAUCAGGCGGGCUGGUCAAAAUUGUAAAGUAGUUGUAAAUACUUGCAAAGAUACCAUUGUUAGAGGUCUGGUUAUAUGUCAUGGCGCAUAUUUGAGAAUGGAGUUCAUGCUGAUUAAUCGUGUGCAAACUGUGAUGUCCACAUUUAUUGGAUUUUGAGAGGGCUAUGAACUCGACUGAAUGGCUUCUGUGUUCAGUAUAUAAACUGAAACAGGGGACUGUACUCCCCAACAAACUUGCUGGAAAUAAUUUUAUAGUUGCUUAACAGGGGAGAUCACCGUGAAAGCCUGUGCUGUUUAUACCAUUUAGUUUAGUUUUAGUAUGUGGUAAUCUUGAUGCUCCUUCUGCCUAAUGAGCAAGCCAGAGCUGGUUCCCGGGUUCACCUAGUCCUGUACUGUGUAUAAAGAGAAUUUUGAAUAUAAAUCAAUAGUAUGCCAUAAUUUAGUAUGAUUUCUUACCAUUUUAUUUAAUUUUUUCAGGGUAAAUUUAUAACUAAUGUCAAUCUUUACCAAUAAUGGAGCCAAGGUUUAUGCUCAAUCUGGGUAAAGUUAUUUCUCCUUCUGCAAGUCUCUCUGGUUUGAAAACAUGAACAUCUUCAACCAUAUCUCAGGGUCAUGGUGAAGUGCUGGAGUUGAAAUGAACAAUUCAGUAUUUUUCUUCUUGGAGAAUUUUGUUACAGAAAAAAAGAUGCCUGGACAAUCAUACGGAUCUCUAAUCAAGAUCUACAACAAUAUCAGAAUAUAAGAGGAAAUAGUACUCAGAGGAGCACCAUCUUCAUACUUGAUUGCUUAAACAUUUUGUUCCAAUAUCAUCAUUUACUAUUACAUGGAUAGAAACAAGGACAAAUUAAUCAACAUCACUGACUGGGGUGAGUUACUGGCUGCGGCCUCUGUAAGCAACUGAUCUACAAGGCAUUAUUCCAUUGACAACUCUAGGCUUCAUUCUACAGAGAAUGAAGUAUUACCUGAAUUCCAUGUUGUGGCUGAAGCAAAGGAAGGUAAUAUGGUGAGUGGCUGUAG